This 755-nucleotide ribosomal RNA is filed under the name Leratia exigua. RNAcentral's name for it is "partial 26S ribosomal RNA". It matches the Rfam family "Eukaryotic large subunit ribosomal RNA", at positions 35 to 791 of the family's 3401-position model. The record is from RNAcentral. Lineage: Eukaryota; Viridiplantae; Streptophyta; Bryopsida; Orthotrichales; Orthotrichaceae.
UAAGCAUAUCAAUAAGCGGAGGAGAAGAAACUAACCAGGAUUUCCCUAGUAACGGCGAGCGAACCGGAAAGAGCCCAGCUUGAAAAUCGUGGUGCCUCGCACCUCGAAUUGUAGUCUGGAGAAGGUCCCUCUGCGGCGCGCCGGACCCAAGUUCCCUGGAAAGGGACGUCAGAGAGGGUGACAACCCCGUCGAGUCCGGGACGCGUCGUUCCACGAGGACCUGUCUGCGAGUCGGGCUGUUUGGGAAUGCAGCCCUAAGCGGGUGGUAAAUUCCAUCCAAGGCUAAAUAUUGGCAAGAGACCGAUAGCGAACAAGUACCGCGAGGGAAAGAUGAAAAGGACUUUGAAAAGAGAGUUAAAAAGUGCUUGAAAUUGCUGGGAGGGAAGCGAAUGGAAGCUGCGGGUGCGCCCCGGUUGGAUGCGGAACGGCUCCGGCUGGUCCGCCGCUCAACGCGGGGCGCUGGUCAGCGUGGGCCGUCGCGGCGGGACAAGAGCGGGGAUUCGCUUCCCGCCUAUGCCGUCGCGGCGGCCGAGGAACGAAGCGCGCGCCGCUCGCGGCGUGGGCACACCGCCCAACUGCGCGCUCGGGACGCUGGCGUAUUGAGCUCUUCAUCCGACCCGUCUUGAAACACGGACCAAGGAGUCUAACAUGUAUGCGAGCCGGUGGGCGGCAAACCCAUUGAGGCGCAAGUAACCUGACAGGUGGGACCCCGCAAGGGAGCACCAUCGACCGACCGUGAUCUUCUGUGAAGGGUC